GAGUUUGAUCAUGGCUCAGAUUGAACGCUGGCGGCAGGCCUAACACAUGCAAGUCGAGCGGAAACGAGUUAUCAGAACCUUCGGGGGACGAUAACGGCGUCGAGCGGCGGACGGGUGAGUAAUGCCUAGGAAAUUGCCCUGAUGUGGGGGAUAACCAUUGGAAACGAUGGCUAAUACCGCAUGAUGCCUACGGGCCAAAGAGGGGGACCUUCGGGCCUCUCGCGUCAGGAUAUGCCUAGGUGGGAUUAGCUAGUUGGUGAGGUAAGGGCUCACCAAGGCGACGAUCCCUAGCUGGUCUGAGAGGAUGAUCAGCCACACUGGAACUGAGACACGGUCCAGACUCCUACGGGAGGCAGCAGUGGGGAAUAUUGCACAAUGGGCGCAAGCCUGAUGCAGCCAUGCCGCGUGUGUGAAGAAGGCCUUCGGGUUGUAAAGCACUUUCAGUCGUGAGGAAGGUAGUGUAGUUAAUAGCUGCAUUAUUUGACGUUAGCGACAGAAGAAGCACCGGCUAACUCCGUGCCAGCAGCCGCGGUAAUACGGAGGGUGCGAGCGUUAAUCGGAAUUACUGGGCGUAAAGCGCAUGCAGGUGGUUUGUUAAGUCAGAUGUGAAAGCCCGGGCUCAACCUCGGAAUUGCAUUUGAAACUGGCAGACUAGAGUACUGUAGAGGGGGGUAGAAUUUCAGGUGUAGCGGUGAAAUGCGUUAGAGAUCUGAAGGAAUACCGGUGGCGAAGGCGGCCCCCUGGACAGAUACUGACACUCAGAUGCGAAAGCGUGGGGAGCAAACAGGAUUAGAUACCCUGGUAGUCACGCCGUAAACGAUGUCUACUUGGAGGUUGUGGCCUUGAGCGUGGCUUUCGGAGCUAACGCGUUAAGUAGACCGCCUGGGGAGUACGGUCGCAAGAUUAAAACUCAAAUGAAUUGACGGGGGCCCGCACAAGCGGUGGGCAUGUGGUUUAAUUCGAUUGCAACGCGAAGAACCUUACCUACUCUUGACAUCAGACAACUUUCAGAGAUGGAUUGGUGCCUUCGGAACUCUGGACAGGUGCUGCAUGGCUUCGUCAGCUCGUAGUUGGAAUAUGUUGGGUUAUCCCGCAAACGAGCGCAACCCCUUCAUCCGAUUUGCCGCGAGUAAUUCGGGAACUCCAGGGAGACUCCGGUGAUAAACCGGAGGAAGGUGG
RNAcentral lists this ribosomal RNA (1179 nucleotides) under Vibrio parahaemolyticus 3259. RNAcentral's name for it is "bacterial SSU rRNA". It matches the Rfam family "Bacterial small subunit ribosomal RNA", at positions 9 to 1176 of the family's 1533-position model. The record is from RNAcentral. Lineage: Bacteria; Pseudomonadati; Pseudomonadota; Gammaproteobacteria; Vibrionales; Vibrionaceae.